AGCGAACGUUAGCGGCGCGCCUAACACAUGCAAGUCGCACGAGAAAGGGAGCAAUCCCCGGUACAGUGGCGCACGGGUGAGUAACACGUAGAUGACCUUCCCUGGAGUGGUGGAUAACCUGCCGAAAGGCGGGCUAAUACAGCAUGGGACCACAUGGUUUUGACCGAGUGGUGAAAGCGGGCCUCUGUUCACAAGCUCGCGCUCUGGGAUGGGUCUGCGUCCCAUCAGCUAGUUGGUGAGGUAAUGGCUCACCAAGGCAUCGACGGGUAGCUGGUCUGAGAGGAUGACCAGCCACACUGGAACUGAGACACGGUCCAGACUCCUACGGGAGGCAGCAGUGGGGAAUCUUGCGCAAUGGGCGAAAGCCCGACGCAGCGACGCCGCGUGGGUGAUGAAGGCCUCGGUUGUAAG
RNAcentral lists this ribosomal RNA (411 nucleotides) under uncultured bacterium. RNAcentral's name for it is "bacterial SSU rRNA". It matches the Rfam family "Bacterial small subunit ribosomal RNA", at positions 29 to 429 of the family's 1533-position model. The record is from RNAcentral.